GGUGAACGCUGGCGGCGUGCCUAAGACAUGCAAGUCGAGCGGGGCAGGUUUAUACCUGUUCAGCGGCGGACGGGUGAGUAACGCGUGGGUGACCUACCCUGAAGAGGCGGACAACCUGGGGAAACCCAGGCUAAUCCGCCAUGUGGUCCUAUCCUGUGGUGUAGGACUAAAGGGGCGACUCGCUUCCGGAUGGGCUCGCGCCUCUUCAGGUAGUGGGUGGGGUAAAGGCCCAUCAAGGCGACAACGGGUAGCCGGUCUGAGAUGAUGGGCGGCCAGAGGGGCACUAGGACACGGGGGCCGGUCCUACGAGGGGAAGCAGUUAAGAAUCUGCCGCAAUGGACGGGAGACUGACGGAGCGACGCCGCGUGGAGGGGGAAGCCCAUCGGGGUGUAAACUCCUGAACUAGGGACGAAGGCACUGUGUAGGGGGAUGACGGUACCCAGGUAAUAGCGCCGGCCAACUCCGUG
Molecule: ribosomal RNA, 467 nt
Filed under: uncultured bacterium
Lineage: Bacteria
Description: partial 16S ribosomal RNA
Rfam family: Bacterial small subunit ribosomal RNA
Source: RNAcentral